RNAcentral lists this ribosomal RNA (468 nucleotides) under uncultured bacterium. RNAcentral's name for it is "partial 16S ribosomal RNA". It matches the Rfam family "Bacterial small subunit ribosomal RNA", at positions 28 to 507 of the family's 1533-position model. The record is from RNAcentral.
GACGAACGCUGGCGGCGUGCUUAACACAUGCAAGUCGAACGGAAAGGCCCUGCUUUUGUGGGGUGCUCGAGUGGCGAACGGGUGAGUAACACGUGAGUAACCUGCCCUUGACUUUGGGAUAACUUCAGGAAACUGGGGCGAAUACCGGAUAGGAGCUCCUGCUGCAUGGUGGGGGUUGGAAAGUUUCGGCGGUUGGGGAUGGACUCGGGGCUUAUCAGCUUGUUGGUGGGGUAGUGUCUUACCAAGGCUUUGACGGGUAGCCGGCCUGAGAGGGUGACCGGCCACAUUGGGACUGAGGUACGGCCCAGACUCCUACGGGAGGCAGAAGUGGGGAAUAUUGCACAAUGGGCGGACGCCUGAUGCAGCAACGCCGCGUGCGGGAUGACGGCCUUCGGGUUGUAAACCGCUUUCGCCUGUGACGAAGCGUGAGUGACGGUAAUGGGUAAAGAAGCACCGGCUAACUACGUG